UACAGAGGGUGCAAGCGUUAAUCGGAUUUACUGGGCGUAAAGCGUGCGUAGGCGGUUUGUUAAGUCGGGUGUGAAAUCCCUGGGCUCAACCUGGGAACUGCAUCCGAUACUGGCAGACUAGAGAACGGUAGAGGGAGGCGGAACUCCAGGUGUAGCAGUGAAAUGCGUAGAUAUCUGGAAGAACACCGAUGGCGAAGGCAACCUCCUGGGCCUGUUCUGACGCUGAGGCACGAAAGCGUGGGGAGCGAACGGG
This 253-nucleotide ribosomal RNA is filed under the name uncultured bacterium. Its description in RNAcentral is "partial 16S ribosomal RNA". It matches the Rfam family "Bacterial small subunit ribosomal RNA", at positions 524 to 776 of the family's 1533-position model. The record is from RNAcentral.